Non-coding RNA from Maylandia zebra (zebra mbuna), 330 nucleotides. The record is from RefSeq and is a predicted model, not a curated record. Lineage: Eukaryota; Metazoa; Chordata; Actinopteri; Cichliformes; Cichlidae.
AACUACAGGAAGUGUUUAUUUUAAAUGAAAGUGUCUUCAGCUGUGAGGCUCUGUGUUGCUGCUCAGGUCCAGUCCAAAAAGGCUAGGCAGCGCCUGUACCAUCUUUGACAACUGAGGAAGUUCGGGGUCUCUCCAGUGAUCUACAGGAUUUUCUAUGCAGAAGUUACUGAAAUCCAGGAAAUAAAGGAAACAUAGCUUGUACAUCUCAGUCAGCAGUGGAGUUUGUCAGGAGGGCCAGACUCAACCUGGUGAGAACAUUAAAGAGGCUCACUGCUGUGAUUGUGGAGAAUCUCUACCAGAAAGAAGUUUUCUCAGAGGAAGAAGUCAGUA